CAAAAAUAAGUUUUAUCUUUUUCAAGAGCGCUGUCUGAUUUGAGGCGACAGCGCUCUUGAAAAAGAUAAAACUUGUUUUUG
Non-coding RNA from Podarcis lilfordi (Lilford's wall lizard), 81 nucleotides. Lineage: Eukaryota; Metazoa; Chordata; Lepidosauria; Squamata; Lacertidae. The record is from the annotation of a GenBank genome assembly.